This 273-nucleotide unclassified non-coding RNA is filed under the name uncultured fungus. Its description in RNAcentral is "partial contains small subunit ribosomal RNA, internal transcribed spacer 1, and 5.8S ribosomal RNA". The stretch from base 1 to 73 matches the Rfam family "Eukaryotic small subunit ribosomal RNA", at positions 1759 to 1831 of the family's 1831-position model. Lineage: Eukaryota; Fungi. The record is from RNAcentral.
GCAAACUUGGUCAUUUAGAGGAAGUAAAAGUCGUAACAAGGUCUCCGUAGGUGAACCUGCGGAGGGAUCAUUACCGAGUGAGGGCCCCCGGCCCGACCUCCAACCCUGUGACUACCAACACUUGUUGCCUCGGGGGCGACCCGGCCGUUUCACGCUCGGGGCCCCCGGUGGACCCAUUUAACCCUGCAUCUCUGCGUCGGUUUGAAACACAUAAUUGAUUAAAAAACUUUCAACAACGGAUCUCUUGGUUCUGGCAUCGAUGAAGAACGCAGC